GACGAACGCUGGCGGCGUGCUUAACACAUGCAAGUCGAACGGUGAACCUCUUCGGAGGGGAUCAGUGGCGAACGGGUGAGUAACACGUGGGCAACCUGCCCCCGGCUCUGGGAUAACUCCAAGAAAUUGGGGCUAAUACCGGAUGUUCACCGCUUCCCGCAUGGGUGGUGGUGGAAAGGGUUUCCGGCUGGGGAUGGGCCCGCGGCCUAUCAGCUUGUUGGUGGGGUAGUGGCCUACCAAGGCGACGACGGGUAGCCGGCCUGAGGGGGUGACCGGCCACAUGGGGGAUGAGAGAGGGCCCAGGCCCCUACGGGGGGCAGAGGGGGGAAAUAUGGCGCAAGGGGGGGGAGCCUGGCGCAGGGCCCCCGGGGGGGGGAGGGCGGCCUUCGGGUUGAAAACCUUUUUCGGCAGGGACGAGGCGAAAGGGACGGUACCUGCAGAAGAAGCACCGGCCAACUACGU
RNAcentral lists this ribosomal RNA (462 nucleotides) under uncultured bacterium. RNAcentral describes it as "partial 16S ribosomal RNA". It matches the Rfam family "Bacterial small subunit ribosomal RNA", at positions 28 to 506 of the family's 1533-position model. The record is from RNAcentral.